AAAAUCCGUUUAGACAAUGCUAGGAUGUGAUGGGGAAGCCCUUCGGGGCGAAGUAGCUGAUUUCACACUGUCAAGAAAAGCUUCUAUCGAGUUUAAAGGCGCCCGUACCGUAAACCGACACAGGUGGGUGAGGAGAGUAUCCUAAGGCCAGCGAGAGAACUAUUGUUAAGGAACUCGGCAAAAUGACCCCGUAACUUAGGGAGAAGGGGUGCCUGUCUAUGACAGGCUGCAGAGAAUAGGCCCAAGCGACUGUUUACCAAAAACACAGGUUUCUGCUAAGUCGCAAGACGAUGUAUAGGAGCUGACGCCUGCCCGGUGCUGGAAGGUUAAGGGGAUCUGUUAGAGCAAUCGAAGCAGUGAACUUAAGCCCCAGUAAACGGCGGCCGUAACAAUAACGGUCCUAAGGUAGCGAAAUUCCUUGUCGGGUAAGUUCCGACCCGCACGAAAGGCGUAACGAUUGGGCACUGUCUCAACAAUAGACUCGGUGAAAUUGUAAUCCUGGUGAAGAUGCCGGGUACCUGCGACAGGACGGAAAGACCCCAUGGAGCUUUACUGUAGCUUGAUGUUGGGUCUUGGUACUACAUGUACAGGAUAGGUGGGAGACUAUGAAGCAUGGACGCCAGUCUGUGUGGAGUCAUCCUUGGGAUACCACCCUUGUAGUACUGGGAUCCUAACCAUAGGCCUUGAAUCAGGUCUUGGAACACCGUCAUGUGGGCAGUUUGACUGGGGCGGUCGCCUCCUAAAAAGUAACGGAGGCGCUCAAAGGUUUCCUCAGCACGGUCGGAAAUCGUGCGAAGAGUGUAAAGGCAAAAGGAAGCUUGAUUGCAAGACAUACAGGUCGAGCAAGGACGAAAGUCGGACUUAGUGAUCCGGUGGUACCGCAUGGAAGGGCCAUCGCUCAACGGAUAAAAGCUACCCUGGGGAUAACAGGCUUAUCUCCCCCAAGAGUCCACAUCGACGGGGAGGUUUGGCACCUCGAUGUCGGCUCAUCACAUCCUGGGGCUGUAGUAGGUCCCAAGGGUUGGGCUGUUCGCCCAUUAAAGUGGUACGCGAGCUGGGUUCAGAACGUCGUGAGACAGUUCGGUCCCUAUCCGUCGCAGGCGUAGGAAAUUUGAGAAGACCUGUCCUUAGUACGAGAGGACCGGGAUGGACGUACCUCUGGUGUACCAGUUGUUCUGCCAAGGGCAUGGCUGGGUAGCUAUGUACGGAAUGGAUAAGCGCUGAAAGCAUCUAAGCGCGAAGCCAACUUCAAGAUAAGAUUUCCCACCGUAAGGGUAAGACCCCAGGAAGACUACCUGGUUGAUAGGUCGAAGGUGUAAGUGCAGUAAUGUAUUUAGCUUAUCGAUACUAAUAGGUCGAGGACUUGACC
RNAcentral lists this ribosomal RNA (1369 nucleotides) under metagenome. Its description in RNAcentral is "bacterial LSU rRNA". It matches the Rfam family "Bacterial large subunit ribosomal RNA", at positions 1537 to 2925 of the family's 2925-position model. The record is from RNAcentral.